Molecule: long non-coding RNA, 309 nt
Organism: Sphaerodactylus townsendi
Lineage: Eukaryota; Metazoa; Chordata; Lepidosauria; Squamata; Sphaerodactylidae
Exons: 3
Source: RefSeq, a predicted model, not a curated record
AUCCCCAAUGAUUGAAACAACACCUUGUAGAGAACAGAGGUUUAUUCGUCCUGAGGACAGCUUUGAAAAGCCAGAAUUGGUUUUUCCCCGCACAAACAGCAGUAAUAUCUUCCAGGGUUCCCCCCUCCCAUGUGAACAGUGUAAAGAAAUAUGCAGACAGUUAGAUAAGAGCACGAGUCCGUUGGCACUGGCCUUGACCCGCACCUGGCGGUGGAAACAGUUAGAGGCACACAAUAUGAUUCCCAUCCCCCUAAAGCCCAGAACAGCGAGUGGCUCCCAGCACCCAUGUUGGAUCCUGAAAAUGAAAUG